Molecule: ribosomal RNA, 229 nt
Filed under: uncultured bacterium
Lineage: Bacteria
Description: partial 16S ribosomal RNA
Rfam family: Bacterial small subunit ribosomal RNA
Source: RNAcentral
GACGAACGCUGGCGGCGUGCUUAACACAUGCAAGUCGAGCGGUAAGGCCCUUUCGGGGGUACACGAGCGGCGAACGGGUGAGUAACACGUGGGUGACCUGCCCUCAGCUCUGGGAUAAGCCUGGGAAACUGGGUCUAAUACUGGAUAUGACUCCACGGUGCAUGUCGUGGGGUGGAAAGCCUUGUGCGGCUGAGGAUGGGCCCGCGGCCUAUCAGCUUGUUGGUGGGGG